GUGCUUGCAUUCGUUUGCUUCCGUGCAUUCAUCGUCGGCGCGUGCUGGGACGUUCGGUUUGCCCUUCUGAAGGUUAGAGAGUCGGCCAAGUUCGCUUGGUACCGUUUUCUUUCCGGAAGUCGAUGUGCGUUCUGUGCGUAGUCGCGGCCAGGCCCUUGCGCGGUUGGUUGUGUGAAUGCGUGCCGCUUGGCAGUUGGACAUGUCUGACUGUCUUGUGCGUGUGUGUUUGCGUGGCUUUCUGCCUAUGGCUCGCUUCCGGUAUGUGAAAGUUGACCACCUAUCCGACCCGUCUUGAAACACGGACCAAGAAGUCUAGUAUGUACGCGAGUCAUUGGGUGAUUAAAACCUAUUGGCGAAAUUAAUGUGAAGGGCGGCUCGUUCGUCUGAUAUGUGAUCCGUGAGUCUCGGCUUGCGGCGCAACAUAGUCCCAUGCGAAUUGCUUGCAAUCGUGUGGAGAUGGAGCGUACACACUAGGACCCGAAAGAUGGUGAACUAUGCCUGAGCAGGACGAAGUCAGAGGAAACUCUGAUGGAAGUCCGAAGCGGUUCUGACGUGCAAAUCGAUCGUCUGACUUGGGUAUAGGGGCGAAAGACU
This 594-nucleotide ribosomal RNA is filed under the name Mononchoides sp. WY-2009. Its description in RNAcentral is "partial 28S ribosomal RNA". It matches the Rfam family "Eukaryotic large subunit ribosomal RNA", at positions 493 to 932 of the family's 3401-position model. Lineage: Eukaryota; Metazoa; Nematoda; Chromadorea; Rhabditida; Neodiplogasteridae. The record is from RNAcentral.